GUGUGUAGGCGGCUUUCUAAGUUUGUUGUGAAAUCUCCCGGCUUAACCGGGAGGGUGCGGCGAAGACUGGAAGGCUAGAGUAUGGGAUGGGAGAGUGGAAUUCCUGGUGUAGCGGUGAAAUGCGUAGAUAUCAGGAGGAACACCUGCGGUGUAGACGGCUCUCUGGACCAUUACUGACGCUGAGACACGAAAGCGUGGGUAGCAAACAGGAUUAGAUACCCUGGUAGUCCACGCCCUAAACGAUGCAUAUUUGGUGUGGGCCAUUCAUUUGGUCUGUGCCGGAGCUAACGCGUUAAAUAUGCCGCCUGGGGAGUACAGUCGCAAGGCUGAAACUCAAAGGAAUUGACGGGGGCCCGCACAAGCGGUGGAGCAUGUGGUUCAAUUCGACGCAACGCGAAGAACCUUACCUAGGCUCGAAAUGCUUGGGACCAUCCCUGGAAACAGGGACUUCUCGCAAGAGACUCAAGUAUAGGUGCUGCAUGGCUGUCGUCAGCUCGUGUCGUGAGAUGUUGGGUUAAGUCCCGCAACGAGCGCAACCCUUGUCCUGUGUU
RNAcentral lists this ribosomal RNA (551 nucleotides) under uncultured bacterium. RNAcentral describes it as "bacterial SSU rRNA". It matches the Rfam family "Bacterial small subunit ribosomal RNA", at positions 567 to 1116 of the family's 1533-position model. The record is from RNAcentral.